AGCGAACGCUGGCGGCAGGCUUAACACAUGCAAGUCGAGCGCCCCGCAAGGGGAGCGGCAGACGGGUGAGUAACACGUGGGAACGUACCUUUUGGUUCGGAACAACCCAGGGAAACUUGGGCUAAUACCGGAUAAGCCCUUACGGGGAAAGAUUUAUCGCCAAAAGAUCGGCCCGCGUCUGAUUAGCUAGUUGGUGGGGUAAUGGCCCACCAAGGCUACGAUCAGUAGCUGGUCUGAGAGGAUGAUCAGCCACAUUGGGACUGAGACACGGCCCAAACUCCUACGGGAGGCAGCAGUGGGGAAUAUUGGACAAUGGGGGCAACCCUGAUCCAGCCAUGCCGCGUGAGUGAUGAAGGCCUUAGGGUUGUAAAGCUCUUUUAGCAGGGAAGAUAAUGACGGUGCCUGCAGAAAAAGCCCCGGCUAACUUCGUGCCAGCAGCCGCCGUAA
This 447-nucleotide ribosomal RNA is filed under the name uncultured bacterium. Its description in RNAcentral is "partial 16S ribosomal RNA". It matches the Rfam family "Bacterial small subunit ribosomal RNA", at positions 29 to 523 of the family's 1533-position model. The record is from RNAcentral.